RNAcentral lists this ribosomal RNA (468 nucleotides) under uncultured bacterium. Its description in RNAcentral is "partial 16S ribosomal RNA". It matches the Rfam family "Bacterial small subunit ribosomal RNA", at positions 28 to 507 of the family's 1533-position model. The record is from RNAcentral.
GACGAACGCUGGCGGCGUGCUUAACACAUGCAAGUCGAACGGAAAGGCCCUGCUUUUGUGGGGUGCUCGAGUGGCGAACGGGUGAGUAACACGUGUGUAACCUGCCCUUCACUUUCGGAUAACUUCAGGAAACUGGGGCUAAUACCGGAUAGGAGCCCCUGCUGCAUGGUGGGGGUUGGAAAGUUUCGGCGGGUGGGGAUGGACUGGCGGCUUAUCAGCUCGUUGGUGGGGUAGUGGCUUACCAAGGCUUUGACGGGUAGCCGGCCUGAGAGGGUGACCGGGCACAAUGGGACUGAGAUACGGCCCAGACGCCAACGGGAGGCAGCAGUGGGGAAUAUUGCACAAUGGGCGGAAGCCUGAUGCAGCAACGCCGCGUGCGGGAUGACGGCCUUCGGGUUGUAAACCGCUUUCGCCUGUGACGAAGCGUGAGUGACGGUAAUGGGUAAAGAAGCACCGGCUAACUACGUG